UUCCAGACUCCUACGGGAGGCAGCAGUGAGGAAUAUUGGUCAAUGGACGCAAGUCUGAACCAGCCAAGUAGCGUGCAGGAUGACGGCCCUCCGGGUUGUAAACUGCUUUUAGUUGGGAAUAAAAGGGGGCUCGUGAGCCCCGUAUUGUAUGUACCAUCAGAAAAAGGACCGGCUAAUUCCGUGCCAGCAGCCGCGGUAAUACGGAGGAUGCGAGCGUUAUCCGGAUUUAUUGGGUUUAAAGGGUGCGCAGGCGGAAUGUCAAGUCAGCGGUAAAAUUUCGGGGCUCAACCCCGUCGUGCCGUUGAAACUGGCGUUCUUGAGUGAGCGAGAAGUAUGCGGAAUGCGUGGUGUAGCGGUGAAAUGCAUAGAUAUCACGCAGAACUCCGAUUGCGAAGGCAGCAUACCGGCGCUCAACUGACGCUCAUGCACGAAAGCGUGGGUAUCGAACAGGAUUAGAUACCCCAGUA
RNAcentral lists this ribosomal RNA (467 nucleotides) under uncultured bacterium. RNAcentral's name for it is "bacterial SSU rRNA". It matches the Rfam family "Bacterial small subunit ribosomal RNA", at positions 329 to 792 of the family's 1533-position model. The record is from RNAcentral.